RNAcentral lists this ribosomal RNA (403 nucleotides) under uncultured bacterium. RNAcentral describes it as "bacterial SSU rRNA". It matches the Rfam family "Bacterial small subunit ribosomal RNA", at positions 357 to 772 of the family's 1533-position model. The record is from RNAcentral.
GGGAAUAUUGCGCAAUGGGCGAAAGCCUGACGCAGCGACGCCGCGUGAGGGACGAAGGCCUUCGGGUUGUAAACCUCUUUCAGCAGGGACGAAGCGAAAGUGACGGUACCUGCAGAAGAAGCACCGGCCAACUACGUGCCAGCAGCCGCGGUAAUACGUAGGGUGCAAGCGUUGUCCGGAUUUAUUGGGCGUAAAGAGCUCGUAGGCGGUUUGUCGCGUCGGCUGUGAAAACUCGGGGCUCAACCCCGAGCCUGCAGUCGAUACGGGCAGACUAGAGUUCGGUAGGGGAGACUGGAAUUCCUGGUGUAGCGGUGAAAUGCGCAGAUAUCAGGAGGAACACCGAUGGCGAAGGCAGGUCUCUGGGCCGAUACUGACGCUGAGGAGCGAAAGCGUGGGGAGCGAA